UUUAUUGGAGAGUUUGAUCCUGGCUCAGGAUGAACGCUGGCGGCGUGCCUAAUACAUGCAAGUCGAGCGAAUGGAUUAAGAGCUUGCUCUUAUGAAGUUAGCGGCGGACGGGGGAGUAACACGUGGGUAACCUGCCCAUAAGACUGGGAUAACUCCGGGAAACCGGGGCUAAUACCGGAUAACAUUUUGAACCGCAUGGGUCGAAAUUGAAAGGCGGCUUCGGCUGUC
RNAcentral lists this ribosomal RNA (228 nucleotides) under Bacillus anthracis (anthrax bacterium). RNAcentral's name for it is "partial 16S ribosomal RNA". It matches the Rfam family "Bacterial small subunit ribosomal RNA", at positions 1 to 216 of the family's 1533-position model. The record is from RNAcentral. Lineage: Bacteria; Bacillati; Bacillota; Bacilli; Caryophanales; Bacillaceae.